AUACGGAGGGGGCUAGCGUUAUUCGGAAUUACUGGGCGUAAAGCGCACGUAGGCGGCGUGAAUAGUUAGAGGUGAAAGCCCCGGGCUCAACCCGGGAAUUGCCUUUAAUACUUUCAUGCUUGAAUACUGGAGAGGGUAGUGGAAUUCCAAGUGUAGAGGUGAAAUUCGUAGAUAUUUGGAAGAACACCAGUGGCGAAGGCGGCUACCUGGACAGAUAUUGACGCUGAGGUGCGAAAGCGUGGGGAGCAAACAGGAUUAGAAACCCUAGUAGUCC
RNAcentral lists this ribosomal RNA (274 nucleotides) under uncultured bacterium. RNAcentral describes it as "partial 16S ribosomal RNA". It matches the Rfam family "Bacterial small subunit ribosomal RNA", at positions 523 to 796 of the family's 1533-position model. The record is from RNAcentral.